RNAcentral lists this ribosomal RNA (253 nucleotides) under uncultured bacterium. Its description in RNAcentral is "partial 16S ribosomal RNA". It matches the Rfam family "Bacterial small subunit ribosomal RNA", at positions 524 to 776 of the family's 1533-position model. The record is from RNAcentral.
UACAGAGGUCCCAAGCGUUGUUCGGAUUUACUGGGCGUAAAGGGUGCGUAGGUGGCGAGGUAAGUUCGAUGUGAAAUCUCCGAGCUCAACUCGGAAAUGGCAUUGAAUACUACCCCGCUUGAGGGUCGGAGGGGAGACUGGAAUUCUCGGUGUAGCAGUGAAAUGCGUAGAUAUCGAGAGGAACACCAGUGGCGAAGGCGAGUCUCUGGACGACUCCUGACACUGAGGCACGAAAGCUGGGGGAGCAAACAGG